This 87-nucleotide transfer RNA is filed under the name Candidatus Omnitrophota bacterium. Its description in RNAcentral is "Candidatus Omnitrophica bacterium (groundwater metagenome) tRNA-Ser". It matches the Rfam family "tRNA". From Rfam's summary of the family: Transfer RNA (tRNA) molecules are approximately 80 nucleotides in length. Their secondary structure includes four short double-helical elements and three loops (D, anti-codon, and T loops). Lineage: Bacteria; Pseudomonadati; Candidatus Omnitrophota. The record is from RNAcentral.
GGAGAGGUACCCAAGUGGUUGACGGGGCCGCUCUCGAAAAGCGGUAGGGCCGCAAGGCCCUCGUGGGUUCGAAUCCCACCCUCUCCG